This 791-nucleotide ribosomal RNA is filed under the name uncultured bacterium. Its description in RNAcentral is "bacterial SSU rRNA". It matches the Rfam family "Bacterial small subunit ribosomal RNA", at positions 8 to 796 of the family's 1533-position model. The record is from RNAcentral.
AGAGUUUGAUCCUGGCUCAGGAUGAACGCUAGCGGCAGGCCUAAUACAUGCAAGUCGGACGGGAUUGCGGAGCUUGCUUCGCAUGAGAGUGGCGCACGGGUGCGUAACACGUAUGUAACCUACCUUUAUCAGGGGGAUAGCCUCUCGAAAGAGAGAUUAAGCCCGCAUAAAAUCACAGCACAGCAUUGUGUAAUGAUCAAAUAUUUAUAGGAUAAAGAUGGGCAUGCGGAACAUUAGCUAGUUGGUAAGGUAACGGCUUACCAAGGCUACGAUGUUUAGGGGAUCUGAGAGGAUGACCCCCCACACUGGUACUGAGACACGGACCAGACUCCUACGGGAGGCAGCAGUAAGGAAUAUUGGUCAAUGGGCGGAAGCCUGAACCAGCCAUGCCGCGUGCAGGAAGACGGCCCUACGGGUUGUAAACUGCUUUUAUACGGGAAUAAACCUCACUACGUGUAGUGAGCUGAAUGUACUGUAAGAAUAAGGAUCGGCUAACUCCGUGCCAGCAGCCGCGGUAAUACGGAGGAUCCAAGCGUUAUCCGGAUUUAUUGGGUUUAAAGGGUGCGUAGGCGGCCUAUUAAGUCAGGGGUGAAAGACGGUAGCUUAACUAUCGCAGUGCCCUUGAUACUGAUGGGCUUGAAUACACUAGAGGUAGGCGGAAUGUGACAAGUAGCGGUGAAAUGCAUAGAUAUGUCACAGAACACCAAUUGCGAAGGCAGCUUACUAUGGUGUCAUUGACGCUGAGGCACGAAAGCGUGGGGAUCAAACAGGAUUAGAUACCCUGGUAGUCC